UGAGAUUCGGAAGCAAGGUCUCACCCUGAAAAUUCACCCAUUGCUUCUUUCAGAGAAGCUGCAUGUCCCCUGAGUUCCUCCAGCAUUUUGUGUCCACCUGCGGUGUAAACCAGCAUCCGUAAUUACUCCCUACACUUCAGACUAGCUGGGUCAGGGUAGAGGUUGCCGGCACUGUGGUUGAGCAGUGCUCAGGUUUCCAGAUGCCAGGGUGUAAGAAGAUUUUAAACAUCGAUGACACAGGAGGCCAUUCAGCCCAUCUGUGCCAGUCAAGCUAAAACAACCCUGUCCGACCGCCUGCCAACCUGCAGGUCACGCACACCGCAAUACACGGCCAAGCGUGUUGAAGUUUCACAGCAGCAUCCCCUCUGUCCAUUGUGACCACAUCACUAAAUAUUCAUUCAUCGUACACAUAGCCACUCACAGACAACCUUUUGUGUCGGCAUUGUGGCGCAGCGGUAGAGUUGCUGCCUCACAGCACCAGAGACCUGGGUUCAAUCCUGACUACAGGUGCUAUCUCCCUGUUCCUCACACACUCCAAUGAUGUACAGGUUUGUAGGAUAAUUGGCUACUGAUAAUUAUAAAUUGUCCCUAGUGUGUGUAAGAUAAUGCUAGCUUGUAUGUAGAUGACCUCCUUCGACUAUGUUGAAGACUAGCUACGACUAACUUCGGGAAAAUUGGACACCAAAUAGUGGAGCAUGAAGACGAUCUCCUUCGAUUUCCUUCCACCUCCCUUCGACUAUAAUGAAGACUAUCUACAAGGUUCGACUAUCCUCGAUUACCUAUGACCAGCAUGCCGACCUACUACGAUCUACUACUAAACCUACGAGUAAAAAUAGAAUCAAUUCUUUCCAUGGCAAUCUUUUUUUAAUCACGGGCAUUUUUUAACAUAUUGAAAAAAACGCCGCGACCUAGCCGAGGCCUCGAGUACGUGGAGACCACUUUCGAGCAUGAAGGAGAGUUACGAAGACCUCCUACGACCUUGUGACGACCAUGCUGCGAGUAUGAGUCAGGGCAAACUCGCCAGAACUCACAAAUUAGGUCGCCCAAGUGGGACAGGCCCUUUAAGGGUUUCUCCCACUUUUGCGAUAUUUUUGGCGACUGCCGGCACCCGUCGCAGUCGCAGCAGAUCGCUGAAAAUUUUCAACAUGUUGAAAUUCCAGCGGCGACCAGAAAAAGGUAUGACUCUUCGGGCGACUACUCACGACCAUACUGGCGUCAUGUGUCGACAUGUCGCGGCAUCUCCCCUUCCCAUUCCCACACUGACCUUUCUGUCCUCGGCCUCCUCCACUGUCAGAGUGAGGCCACACACAUAUUGGAGGAAGAGCACCUCACAUUUCACUUGGGCAGCUUACCCCCCAGUGGUAUGAACAUUGAUUUCUCCAAUUUCAAGUAACUCCUGCAUUCACUCUCUCCCCCACACUGGACAUCCUACUAGUGUUCCAAUGUUCGCAUUCUUGUAUCCCUGUCGUUAUCAGCUCUUCCCCAGCCAACAACGGGCCAUUGUGGGCUCCACGCUUCCUUGGUCAUCUGUUGCCGGCCUCAGUUUGUUCUGGUUUUUUCCUACCUCUCAUUCCGUCCCCCCUACUUUCAAUCUGAAGGCAGGUUCCAUCCUAAUUCCCCAGAGAUGCUGCCUGACCCGCUGAGUUACUCCAGCACUUUGUAUCUCAGUAUCGACCAGCAUCUGUAGUUUCUUUCUACCCAAUCAGGGUCUCACUCUGUCUGACAGUUAUUAGGGAGUUAGCAUUCGCUUCCAGUUUAUCUUUGUCCUUUUAUAUCGCUAAGCUGAACAAAAUGUUGACACCACCACUGAACACCUUUCCCUGCUGACUAUCCAGCUACCUUCCUAAAUCCAUUCCCCAAACUAAAAUCAAAAAUGUUCUGCUUAAGACUUAUUCCAGGGAUCAACCUGGGUGAUGAUCCAGUCUGAGACAACGGUGUCAAGGAGAUGGAGAAAUAUGGAAUAGAAUAGAAAGAUGGAAUCAGGGCACAAUGCACUUGCCCACCAUUAGAAUAAUGCUGCACCAUGAACUGCCGAGAGCAGGCAUCUUAAAGCUGACAACAGCUGCCUGGGCCCCAAUAACAAACAGAAGUUGCGAUUCGUCCUUCAUUACGGUGGUGGCCUUGCCGAGACAACGCUACACCCCACGCUGCCUUGGCAAGGCCACCAGCACUUCAAGCACCUGUCACACCAUGGCCACUCCGCCUUCUCCCCUUACCCAUCGGGCAAAAGGUGUAGAAGUGUGGAAACGCACACCUCCAGAUUCAGGGACAGUUUCUUCCCAGCUGUCAUCAGGCAACUGAACCAUCCUACUAAUAUCUAAAGAGCAGUCCUGAACUACGAUCCACCUCAUUGGAGACCAUCGGACUAUUUUUGAUUGGACUUUACUGGCUUUAUCUGGCAGUAAACGCUAUUUACCUUAUCAUGUACACUGUGAAUGGCUCGAUAGUAUUCACAUAUAGUCUUUCUGCAGACUGGUUAGCACGCAACAAAAGUUUUUUACUAUUCCUCAGUACACGUGACCAACAAACUAAACUAAAAGAUGGCAGCAGAAAUCUCACAGGUAGGUGUAUGAAGGAACUGCAGAUACAGGUUUAUACCGGAUAAACACAAAAAGCAGCAGUAACUCAGCGGGGCAGGCAACAUCUCUGGAGAGAAUGAACAGGUGAUGUUUCGGGUUGAGCCCCUACUUCAGACUGAGAGUCAGGGGAAAGAGAAACGAGAGAUAGAGACGGUGAUGUAGUGAAAUAUGGAACAAAUGAAUGAAA
Leucoraja erinaceus (little skate) is the source of this 2766-nucleotide long non-coding RNA. RefSeq lists it as uncharacterized. Lineage: Eukaryota; Metazoa; Chordata; Chondrichthyes; Rajiformes; Rajidae. The record is from RefSeq and is a predicted model, not a curated record. The transcript has 2 exons.